Molecule: ribosomal RNA, 302 nt
Filed under: uncultured bacterium
Lineage: Bacteria
Description: partial 16S ribosomal RNA
Rfam family: Bacterial small subunit ribosomal RNA
Source: RNAcentral
GCAGCCGCCGCGGUAAUACAGAGGGUGCGAGCGUUAAUCGGAUUUACUGGGCGUAAAGCGUGCGUAGGCGGCUUUUUAAGUCGGAUGUGAAAUCCCUGAGCUUAACUUAGGAAUUGCAUUCGAUACUGGGAAGCUAGAGUAUGGGAGAGGAUGGUAGAAUUCCAGGUGUAGCGGUGAAAUGCGUAGAGAUCUGGAGGAAUACCGAUGGCGAAGGCAGCCAUCUGGCCUAAUACUGACGCUGAGGUACGAAAGCAUGGGGAGCAAACAGGAUUAGAGACCCCGGUAGUCCCUGUCUCUUAUAC